CAGCUGUUAACUGGUCAGCAUUGUACAUGCUCAUGCAAGGAGGUUAGGCAGGCCCACCAGGCAUGGGGCUUUGCUGUUGGGUCAUCACUGAGGAAGUAAUACUUUCGGGACUGCAAAUCAAAGCAGAGGAAUGAAUCAGAGAAGAACUGCAUGAUCAUAAACACACUCAAGUAACUCAGUCCAAUGCAUGCUUUGCCUCCUCUACCUCAUCACACAGAAAAAGGCAGAGCUCUCAUUAGUCUCCCAGUUUUAUAAUUCAUUGGGAUACCUGACUGUCGAAGUUCCCAUAUGUCUCUGAACUUAAUGUGUCCGAUGAAUCUUUGGUCAACAGCUGCAAGAGAAAAGAGAAUCAGUGUAGAAUCUAAUGACAUAUACACAUAAUUUUUAAACAGACAUAAAUUAAAACUAAGAGACUUUGUAAAUCUGGAGAAGACCAAGGCUAUUCUGGCAUCUGAACACUAUUCAUUUUAAUUAAAACUAUGGUGAAAUCA
This is a non-coding RNA of Pantherophis guttatus, 491 nucleotides long. NCBI's taxonomy places the organism in Eukaryota, Metazoa, Chordata, Lepidosauria, Squamata, Colubridae. The record is from RefSeq and is a predicted model, not a curated record.